Molecule: ribosomal RNA, 253 nt
Filed under: uncultured bacterium
Lineage: Bacteria
Description: partial 16S ribosomal RNA
Rfam family: Bacterial small subunit ribosomal RNA
Source: RNAcentral
UACAGAGGUCCCGAGCGUUGUUCGGAUUCAUUGGGCGUAAAGGGUGCGUAGGCGGCGCGGUAAGUCGGGUGUGAAAUCUCGGAGCUUAACUCCGAAACUGCAUUCGAUACUGCCGUGCUUGAGGACUGGAGAGGAGACUGGAAUUUACGGUGUAGCGGUGAAAUGCUUAGAUAUGACAUAGAACACCAAUUGCGAAGGCAGCUGGCUACACAUAUAUUGACACUGAUGCACGAAAGCGUGGGGAUCAAACAGG